GACGAACGCUGGCGGCGUGCUUAACACAUGCAAGUCGAACGGUGAAGGGACCGGUUUUUGCUGGUUCUGGAUGAGUGGCGAACGGGUGAGUAACACGUGAGUAACCUGCCCCCUUCUUCUGGAUAACCGCAUGAAAGUGUGGCUAAUACGGGAUAUUCUGCGCCUGCUGCAUGGGGGGUGUGGGAAAGAUAUUGUUUCGGUGGGGGAUGGGCUCGCGGCCUAUCAGCUUGUUGGUGGGGUGAUGGCCUACCAAGGCGGUGACGGGUAGCCGGCCUGAGAGGGUGGACGGUCACACUGGGACUGAGACACGGCCCAGACUCCUACGGGAGGCAGCAGUGGGGAAUAUUGCACAAUGGGCGCAAGCAUGAUGCAGCGACGCCGCGUGAGGGAUGGAGGCCUUCGGGUUGUAAACCUCUUUCGCCAGUGAAGCAGGCCUGUCCCUUUUGUGGGUGGGUUGACGGUAGCUGGAUAAGAAGCGCCAGCUAACUACGUG
This 493-nucleotide ribosomal RNA is filed under the name uncultured bacterium. Its description in RNAcentral is "partial 16S ribosomal RNA". It matches the Rfam family "Bacterial small subunit ribosomal RNA", at positions 28 to 507 of the family's 1533-position model. The record is from RNAcentral.